This 261-nucleotide ribosomal RNA is filed under the name uncultured archaeon. Its description in RNAcentral is "partial 16S ribosomal RNA". It matches the Rfam family "Archaeal small subunit ribosomal RNA", at positions 748 to 1009 of the family's 1478-position model. The record is from RNAcentral.
UAGCCGUAAACGAUACUCGCUAGGUGUCGGCCACGGUGCGACCGUUGUCGGUGCCGUAGGGAAGCCGUGAAGCGAGCCACCUGGGAAGUACGGCCGCAAGGCUGAAACUUAAAGGAAUUGGCGGGGGAGCACAACAACGGGUGGAGCCUGCGGUUUAAUCGGACUCAACGCCGGGAAUCUCACCGGAUAAGACAGCUGAAUGAUAGUCGGGAUGAAGACUCUACUUGACUAGCUGAGAGGAGGUGCAUGGCGUAGUCGUGU